This 2923-nucleotide ribosomal RNA is filed under the name Klebsiella pneumoniae. Its description in RNAcentral is "bacterial LSU rRNA". It matches the Rfam family "Bacterial large subunit ribosomal RNA". The record is from RNAcentral. Lineage: Bacteria; Pseudomonadati; Pseudomonadota; Gammaproteobacteria; Enterobacterales; Enterobacteriaceae.
GGGUUGUGAGGUUAAGCGACUAAGCGUACACGGUGGAUGCCCUGGCAGUCAGAGGCGAUGAAGGACGUGCUAAUCUGCGAAAAGCGUCGGUAAGGUGAUAUGAACCGUUAUAACCGGCGAUGUCCGAAUGGGGAAACCCAGUGCAAUUCGUUGCACUAUCGUUAACUGAAUACAUAGGUUAACGAGGCGAACCGGGGGAACUGAAACAUCUAAGUACCCCGAGGAAAAGAAAUCAACCGAGAUUCCCCCAGUAGCGGCGAGCGAACGGGGAGCAGCCCAGAGUCUGAAUCAGCUUGUGUGUUAGUGGAACGGUCUGGAAAGUCCGACGGUACAGGGUGAUAGUCCCGUACACCAAAAUGCACAGGCUGUGAACUCGAAGAGUAGGGCGGGACACGUGGUAUCCUGUCUGAAUAUGGGGGGACCAUCCUCCAAGGCUAAAUACUCCUGACUGACCGAUAGUGAACCAGUACCGUGAGGGAAAGGCGAAAAGAACCCCGGCGAGGGGAGUGAAAAAGAACCUGAAACCGUGUACGUACAAGCAGUGGGAGCACCUUCGGGUGUGACUGCGUACCUUUUGUAUAAUGGGUCAGCGACUUAUAUUCUGUAGCAAGGUUAACCGUAUAGGGGAGCCGCAGGGAAACCGAGUCUUAACUGGGCGUUAAGUUGCAGGGUAUAGACCCGAAACCCGGUGAUCUAGCCAUGGGCAGGUUGAAGGUUGGGUAACACUAACUGGAGGACCGAACCGACUAAUGUUGAAAAAUUAGCGGAUGACUUGUGGCUGGGGGUGAAAGGCCAAUCAAACCGGGAGAUAGCUGGUUCUCCCCGAAAGCUAUUUAGGUAGCGCCUCGUGAACUCAUCUUCGGGGGUAGAGCACUGUUUCGGCUAGGGGGUCAUCCCGACUUACCAACCCGAUGCAAACUACGAAUACCGAAGAAUGUUAUCACGGGAGACACACGGCGGGUGCUAACGUCCGUCGUGAAGAGGGAAACAACCCAGACCGCCAGCUAAGGUCCCAAAGUCAUGGUUAAGUGGGAAACGAUGUGGGAAGGCACAGACAGCCAGGAUGUUGGCUUAGAAGCAGCCAUCAUUUAAAGAAAGCGUAAUAGCUCACUGGUCGAGUCGGCCUGCGCGGAAGAUGUAACGGGGCUAAACCAUGCACCGAAGCUGCGGCAGCGACACUAUGUGUUGUUGGGUAGGGGAGCGUUCUGUAAGCCUGCGAAGGUGUGCUGUGAGGCAUGCUGGAGGUAUCAGAAGUGCGAAUGCUGACAUAAGUAACGAUAAAGCGGGUGAAAAGCCCGCUCGCCGGAAGACCAAGGGUUCCUGUCCAACGUUAAUCGGGGCAGGGUGAGUCGACCCCUAAGGCGAGGCCGAAAGGCGUAGUCGAUGGGAAACAGGUUAAUAUUCCUGUACUUGGUGUUACUGCGAAGGGGGGACGGAGAAGGCUAUGUUAGCCGGGCGACGGUUGUCCCGGUUUAAGCAUGUAGGCUGGUUGUCCAGGCAAAUCCGGAUAAUCAAGGCUGAGGUGUGAUGACGAGGCACUACGGUGCUGAAGUAACAAAUGCCCUGCUUCCAGGAAAAGCCUCUAAGCAUCAGGUAACAUUAAAUCGUACCCCAAACCGACACAGGUGGUCAGGUAGAGAAUACCAAGGCGCUUGAGAGAACUCGGGUGAAGGAACUAGGCAAAAUGGUGCCGUAACUUCGGGAGAAGGCACGCUGGUGUGUAGGUGAAGUCCCUGCGGAUGGAGCUGAGACCAGUCGAAGAUACCAGCUGGCUGCAACUGUUUAUUAAAAACACAGCACUGUGCAAACACGAAAGUGGACGUAUACGGUGUGACGCCUGCCCGGUGCCGGAAGGUUAAUUGAUGGGGUUAUCCGUAAGGAGAAGCUCUUGAUCGAAGCCCCGGUAAACGGCGGCCGUAACUAUAACGGUCCUAAGGUAGCGAAAUUCCUUGUCGGGUAAGUUCCGACCUGCACGAAUGGCGUAAUGAUGGCCAGGCUGUCUCCACCCGAGACUCAGUGAAAUUGAACUCGCUGUGAAGAUGCAGUGUACCCGCGGCAAGACGGAAAGACCCCGUGAACCUUUACUAUAGCUUGACACUGAACAUUGAGCCUUGAUGUGUAGGAUAGGUGGGAGGCUUUGAAGCGUGGACGCCAGUCUGCGUGGAGCCAACCUUGAAAUACCACCCUUUAAUGUUUGAUGUUCUAACGUUGGCCCCUUACCGGGGUUGCGGACAGUGUCUGGUGGGUAGUUUGACUGGGGCGGUCUCCUCCCAAAGCGUAACGGAGGAGCACGAAGGUUAGCUAAUCCUGGUCGGACAUCAGGAGGUUAGUGCAAUGGCAUAAGCUAGCUUGACUGCGAGCGUGACGGCGCGAGCAGGUGCGAAAGCAGGUCAUAGUGAUCCGGUGGUUCUGAAUGGAAGGGCCAUCGCUCAACGGAUAAAAGGUACUCCGGGGAUAACAGGCUGAUACCGCCCAAGAGUUCAUAUCGACGGCGGUGUUUGGCACCUCGAUGUCGGCUCAUCACAUCCUGGGGCUGAAGUAGGUCCCAAGGGUAUGGCUGUUCGCCAUUUAAAGUGGUACGCGAGCUGGGUUUAGAACGUCGUGAGACAGUUCGGUCCCUAUCUGCCGUGGGCGCUGGAGAAUUGAGGGGGGCUGCUCCUAGUACGAGAGGACCGGAGUGGACGCAUCACUGGUGUUCGGGUUGUCAUGCCAAUGGCACUGCCCGGUAGCUAAAUGCGGAAGAGAUAAGUGCUGAAAGCAUCUAAGCACGAAACUUGCCCCGAGAUGAGUUCUCCCUGAGACUUUAAGUCUCCUGAAGGAACGUUGAAGACGACGACGUUGAUAGGCCGGGUGUGUAAGCGCAGCGAUGCGUUGAGCUAACCGGUACUAAUGAACCGUGAGGCUUAACCUUACAACGCCGAAG